This 253-nucleotide ribosomal RNA is filed under the name uncultured bacterium. RNAcentral describes it as "partial 16S ribosomal RNA". It matches the Rfam family "Bacterial small subunit ribosomal RNA", at positions 524 to 776 of the family's 1533-position model. The record is from RNAcentral.
UACGUAGGGGGCAAGCGUUAUCCGGAUUUACUGGGUGUAAAGGGAGCGUAGACGGCGAUGCAAGCCAGAUGUGAAGGCCCGGGGCUCAACCCCGGGACUGCAUUUGGAACUGUAUAGCUAGAGUGUCGGAGAGGCAGGCGGAAUUCCUAGUGUAGCGGUGAAAUGCGUAGAUAUUAGGAGGAACACCAGUGGCGAAGGCGGCCUGCUGGACGAUGACUGACGUUGAGGCUCGAAAGCGUGGGGAGCAAACAGG